This 753-nucleotide ribosomal RNA is filed under the name uncultured Bacillota bacterium. RNAcentral's name for it is "bacterial SSU rRNA". It matches the Rfam family "Bacterial small subunit ribosomal RNA", at positions 170 to 937 of the family's 1533-position model. The record is from RNAcentral. Lineage: Bacteria; Bacillati; Bacillota.
CGCAUAAGACCACAGCGCCACAUGGCGCAGGGGUCAAAGGAGUAAUCCGCUUUAAGAUGAGCUCGCGUCCCAUUAGCUAGUUGGUGAGGUAACGGCCCACCAAGGCGACGAUGGGUAGCCGACCUGAGAGGGUGAUCGGCCACACUGGAACUGAGACACGGUCCAGACUCCUACGGGAGGCAGCAGUGGGGAAUAUUGGGCAAUGGGCGAAAGCCUGACCCAGCAACGCCGCGUGAUUGAAGAAGGCCUUCGGGUUGUAAAGAUCUGUCCUAUGGGACGAAAAAAAUGACGGUACCAUAGGAGGAAGCCCCGGCUAACUACGUGCCAGCAGCCGCGGUAAUACGUAGGGGGCGAGCGUUGUCCGGAAUUACUGGGCGUAAAGGGUGCGUAGGCGGCGCCUUAAGUCAGAUGUGAAAUAUCCAUGCUUAACGUGGAGGGUGCAUCUGAUACUGGGGCACUUGAGUGCAGGAGAGGAAAGUGGAGUUCCUAGUGUAGCGGUGAAAUGCGUAGAUAUUAGGAGGAACACCAGUGGCGAAGGCGACUUUCUGGACUGUAACUGACGCUGAGGCACGAAAGCGUGGGGAGCAAACAGGAUUAGAUACCCUGGUAGUCCACGCUGUAAACGAUGGAUACUAGGUGUAGGGGGCGAUAGCUCUCUGUGCCGCAGCAAACGCAAUAAGUAUCCCGCCUGGGGAGUACGAUCGCAAGGUUGAAACUCAAAGGAAUUGACGGGGGCCCGCACAAGCAGCGGAG